GAGUUACACAUGGAAUUAACAAAUGUACUGUCAAUAACACAAUAGUUACUUGGCUCAUCUCGCUCUAGUGUCUCCUUGUGGCGCCUGCAGGCUUGAACUCGGUCGUCAGGUGAACGACAUAUUGUUGCGGCUUGCUUCCGGGUUAAGCGGGCGGGUGUGAAGAAGUUCGGUUUGGUCAUGUUUCAGAGGAGUUGACUUUCGCCUCACCCAGAGAUGAAACAAGAUCGAAAUUGGGAAGAAAAAACGGGGAUAUAAAGACUACGCUGUAUCAACAAAAAACGGAUUGCAACUUGCAAAACAUCAGGAAGAACAUUACAGACGGAGGCGCAACAACUUCGUUCGACAUUUGAAGCUGCACAAAGAACGUUUUUCCUUUUUUAGAAGAGAGCGGACUGGAUAUGGUGCAAAAUUCUUCAAAUAGGUCGGUCCCUGGGAUCGGUCUGGCGAAUACAGUUCGCUUUGCAUGGAAGGACAAGGAGACUGAGACAUUCGGACGUGAACCGUUUGGAAGGACUAUCUUGAUGUGGCUCCUUAAACUGACAGGGAAGGAUGUGUUUUGCCUCCAAGGUUACCUGUUGGAGGGAACUUAUGAUGUGGCUUUACACUCAGAAGAAAAACACAACGAGAUCCUGAAAAAGGUGAGAGAAGUGGGAGGUGCGAGGUCGAUGUGCCACUACGAGGUAACCAGCUUGGCAAAAAACUAUUUCAGGAUUGUAACUGUGAACAUUUAUAACCCAUACGUCAAGGACGAGGACGUGAGGGCCUUUCUGGCGAGAUACAUGGAUGACAUCUCCUCAGCAAGGCACCUCAAGGACUCCCUGGGUUUUUGGAACGGGAGGUGAGACUUCCAGGCCCUCCUCAGGGAGGACCCAAAGGGACUGGGUGGCUACCUUCAUCCUCCAGCUAUGUUCUCCCUGGGGGCUGACAGGGGGACGUUGUUUUAUGCACGUCAGCCCCUGUUUUGUAGGCGUUGUAUGGCCUACGGGCACAUACUAGUCUCGUGCAGCACAAGAAAGUGCAGAUUUUGUGGAUCUGGGGAGCACGAGGCAAAGGACUGUGACGAGCUCAAGGUGUGCCACGGGUGUGGCUCGUCAGCACACCUGUGGCAGGAAUGCCCGGCUUGUCAGAGGUCAUAUGUGUCUGCUGUUGGGGGGGAGCAGGAGCGGGGGAUGGGGGAGGAAGGGGAGGAGGCCCAGACCAAGAACCGAGCACAGGCCCAGAGGGGAUGGCCUCACGGAAGGUGGAGGAGCAAAGAGCGGCAGCAGGAGGAGAGGGGGACAGAGAAGGCACGGGAGCAGCAGAACCGGGAGGAGAGGAGGGGAAAAGAGGCGGAAGGAAUCAAGCGAGUGGAGGUGCCAGAGAGAGCAGCAAAGGCGGUAGAGGUGGUGGAGAAGGAGUCGGUGGCAGGACCAGUGGAGGAAGAGGGAGUGGGGGGACAGCAGAAUGCCGAGUGUCCUCGUGGAAGUGAUGGGGGAAUGGUGGGGGUGGUGUCUUCCUGUUACCACCAUCGUCAAAGAAGAGAGGGAAGAGGAAGGGGCUCUUGACAGACAGCGAGAGGGAAGGGGGCAUGGAGGGGGUGGCCAAUCGAGUGAUGGGGGUGGGAGAAACUUCUGUGUCCUCGCUGGCUUCCCCAGCCCCUCAACUCCUGGAGGAGCUUGAUACACCAAGCACGGCUCAGGGCUGGUCAACUGAGGCAGGGGGUUAGUAGUUGGGUGAUGGUUGUUUUUGAAUUUAUUUUAUAUAUUUUUUUAAUGGAGCCUACUAUAACUUUUGUUAGUUUAAAUGUAAGCGUUUAAGAGAUUUUGUUAAGAGGGCGGUUUUUAGUUAUUUAGAGGGUGUGGGUUUUGACUUGUUUUUUAAAGGGGGUUCACCUAAAGGGGGUUCACCUGGGAUGUUAAUAGAUUUAGGAGGGAGUGGGACAAGGGGGAUUCGGUUUGGGGUAUACGGGGGUUGCACUCAUCAGGGGUAGGGAUUUUAUGUGGGCACAGGGAGGUAAAGGUUGAGGGUUAAUUUGUGGUUUUGCAGGGGAGGGUUUUGGUUGUGGAUGUCACCUUAAGGGAUUGCAGAUAUAGAUUAGUGGGGGUGUACGGGCCACAGGUGGCGGCAGACAGGAAGGAGGUGGUGGAGAUGGCGCCCCUGUGCGCCACAAAUAGGCAAGUGGUGAUAGGGGGGGAUUUUAAUAUAGAUUUAGGGGUAGGGGGGAUAGUGCUUGCCAUGGUAUGGUUGGAGAACUGCAUACUACUCCGACAAUGGCUGGUUCCACUUGGUGCAACUCCCGGGGGGUUGCGUGGAGGCUUGACUAUAUUUUUCUGUCUAGGUCCUUGGGUCAGUUGUCUAGGCAGCUGUUGCCUGUUUUCUUUUCGGAUCAUGACGGGGUGCUCCUGCAGGUGAGAUCACCAGUCUGCCUCUUUGGUAGGGGGUACUGGAAAUGAGAUCGGGAUGUGCUGGAUUAGCUUUCAUUGAAGCCUUUACUGGUUUGUCUCGUGGGAUUGAAGGCCUCUGGUCCAUGUGUGAGGGGAUGUUAGAGUGGUGGGUUGUAGGUUGUAGUGGGUAUCCCGGUAGUGGUCUGGGAGGGAGUUCAGGCGCGGGCUCUGGACAACAAGCUCAAGGACCUGAAUUGGUUGAGCCUCCAUAAGUGCUUGCCGGUACGUUCCAUCAUGUACAGGCAUAGCUUGGCACCAUCCCCCACAUGUCCAAGACCAUCUUGUGGCGGGGAGGAGACACCUUUUGGGACUGUGCCUUUGCCGGAGUAGUAUGGGCUAGGGCACGGCUGUUGUUAGGUGGGUGAAAGGGCAUUUUGUUUUGUUUGGGCUAGGGUAGAGAGAGGUGUAGGGAGAGUGAGGGGGACGGUCAGGGACAGGUUUCUGCUCUGACUUCUCAUAAGCCUCUUUAAAUGGGGGCUGUGGGAAGCCAGGUAGGACAUGGUAAAGACAGGGAGAGAUUGGGGGGUGGAGGGGAUAGUGAGGAGGUUGGAAGGAAAUUUGGGAGGAGAGGAAGUUGGGGCAGCAUGCUGCCUGUGAGAGGUGGAAGGGAGGUUUAGGGCUGGGGUUAAUUUAGAUGAUUUAAGGGGAUAGAUUAGGGACGGGGACAUGUAGUUUGUAGGCAUGAAGGGGAGGGAAGAUUCUCCCCUGAGUUUUUUGUUAUUGGGUUUUUGUUUCGUUUUUAAUUAAAAAAUGCCUAUAUUUGAUUUUGUUUGGAAUAUUGAUGGUUUGUUUUGUAUGAAUGGCAUUGUAAUAACUUAUAUAUAAAUAAAAUUCUUCCACUUUGUCAAUAAAGUGCAUGGUAAGUUUAGUAUUACUUUUCAACCAACCCAGUGCAUAUGUUGAAAAUGAAAAAUGUUGAAAUCAACAAUCCGGCAAAGGAUUCAACUACUGAAACAAACGAUUGGAUCAAACAGAUCAAUCCCACUGGACAUUGGGUUUGAUUCAGACCCUGCCAGCAUGACAAGAGAUGUAACUUAUAACCACUAAACCACCCCAGACCUUUCAUGCCUGACUAAAAACAACUAAGUAUUAGAUUUACUGCCAUGGUCUAGUAUGUCACUGCAUCAGACACCAUUCACAAUGCUGGUACGAGGUACGAGUAAAAUAUGACAUAUUAUUUCCUAACCAUUCACAAUGCUGGCUGAGGUACGAGUAAAAUAUGACAUAUUAUUUCCUAACCAUUCACAAUGCUGGCUGAGGUACGAGUAAAAUAUGACAUAUUAUUUCCUAACUGUAAAAAACUCCCCACUCCUUAAUCAACUAGUAUCUCACUGUUUAACCAGAAUAACAUGAGUUGUGUCCUUCAAACUGUUAGACUGUUAGUCCAUAAUCAUAUUCAGCUACUUAGAUGUCAUGUAUUGUCAUGUUAUGUUCUCUAUAAUGAAACAUCACCAAGUGAAAUAAAGUUGACAAGAUACUCUUAAUAGACAUUAAAUAAAAAAUGGUUGUUAAGAAAUCAUUAAUUAUCAUGUUGCUCCCUGCUGAUGCGCUCCCUGACCUUAGGUCUUACUUGGCAGGAACUAAUGGAGAUCCAUCAUAAACCCCAGGAAGAGUAGCUGCUGCCUUGGCAGGAACACAGUCAUGUGAUAUGUGGUAUAGAAAAGUCCAAUCUUAGGAGUGUACAUGGGAGGCAGUAUACUGUAUAUCUGCAGGUGUUGAUCUGGUCAAAACCACCGAUACAGUUGCCCCUCCACGCUCUGGUGGUAUGGAUCAUGUCUACAGAGAAACCUAGAUUCAAAUAUUUAGUUUUGUGUGUAUUGGAUAUAUGUUGUGAAAUUGUUAGAUAUUACUUGUUAGACAUUACUGCACCGUCGGAGCUAGGAACACAAGCAUUUCACUACAUCUGCUAAACACGUGUAUGUGACCAAUAAAAUGUGAUUUUGAUUUGAAAUAAAUGUCCUAUUUAUCAAAGGUGCUAUUGGCUGGGGUCAAUAUUACUCCAAAGGAUUUUAAUUUGUUAAAAGUCCAUUUUGAUACAGAAACCCUAAACCAUGAUUUAGAUUUAUUCAGAACAAGUUGAUUGACAAAGUCAUGAAAAAUUGAAUAAACCACAUUUAGGCUAUGAUUAAAGAUGUGCCUCUGGAGUCAAAAUGAUCCAUUUCAGAAGUAUGGUUCAAUGAAAAUAUGUAGUGGGUGUAAAGUUUGUUUUAAAUUCUCACUC
Molecule: non-coding RNA, 4644 nt
Organism: Oncorhynchus mykiss (rainbow trout)
Lineage: Eukaryota; Metazoa; Chordata; Actinopteri; Salmoniformes; Salmonidae
Source: RefSeq, a predicted model, not a curated record